GACGAACGCUGGCGGCGUGCUUAACACAUGCAAGUCGAACGGUGAAGCGCCUUCCUUUUUGGUGGGUGUGGAUGAGUGGCGAACGGGUGAGUAACACGUGAGUAACCUGCCCCCUUCUUCUGGAUAACCGCAUGAAAGUGUGGCUAAUACGGGAUAUUCUGGGUCUGUCGCAUGAUGGGUCCGGGAAAGAUAUUGUUUCGGUGGGGGAUGGGCUCGCGGCCUAUCAGCUUGUUGGUGGGGUGAUGGCCUACCAAGGCGGUGACGGGUAGCCGGCCUGAGAGGGUGGACGGUCACACUGGGACUGAGACACGGCCCAGACUCCUACGGGAGGCAGCAGUGGGGAAUAUUGCACAAUGGGCGCAAGACUGAUGCAGCGACGCCGCGUGAGGGAUGGAGGCCUUCGGGUUGUGAACCUCUUUCGCCAGUGAAGCAGGCCUGCCUCGUUUGUGGGUGGGUUGACGGUAGCUGGAUAAGAAGCGCCGGCUAACUACGUG
This 494-nucleotide ribosomal RNA is filed under the name uncultured bacterium. Its description in RNAcentral is "partial 16S ribosomal RNA". It matches the Rfam family "Bacterial small subunit ribosomal RNA", at positions 28 to 507 of the family's 1533-position model. The record is from RNAcentral.